GUAGGUGGCAAGCGUUGUCCGGAAUUAUUGGGCGUAAAGCGCGCGCAGGCGGUUCUUUAAGUCUGAUGUGAAAGCCCACGGGCUCAACCGUGGAGGGUCAUUGGAAACUGGAGAACUUGAGUACAGAAGAGGAAAGCGGAAUUCCACGUGUAGCGGUGAAAUGCGUAGAGAUGUGGAGGAACACCAGUGGCGAAGGCGGCUUUCUGGUCUGUAACUGACGCUGAGGCGCGAAAGCGUGGGGAGGCAAACAGGAUUAGAUACCCUGGUAGUCCACGCCGUAAACGAUGAGUGCUAAGUGUUAGGGGGUUUCCGCCCCUUAGUGCUGCAGCUAACGCAUUAAGCACUCCGCCUGGGGAGUACGGCCGCAAGGCUG
Molecule: ribosomal RNA, 373 nt
Filed under: uncultured organism
Description: partial 16S ribosomal RNA
Rfam family: Bacterial small subunit ribosomal RNA
Source: RNAcentral